UACAGAGGGUGCAAGCGUUGUUCGGAAUUAUUGGGCGUAAAGCGCGUGUAGGCGGCUUUGCAAGUCUGGUGUGAAAGCCCUCGGCUCAACCGAGGAAGUGCGCCCGAAACUGCAGAGCUUGAGUACCGGAGAGGAUGGCGGAAUUCCCCAAGUAGAGGUGAAAUUCGUAGAUAUGGGGAGGAACACCGGUGGCGAAGGCGGCCAUCUGGACGGAUACUGACGCUGAGACGCGAAAGCGUGGGGAGCAAACGGG
This 253-nucleotide ribosomal RNA is filed under the name uncultured bacterium. Its description in RNAcentral is "partial 16S ribosomal RNA". It matches the Rfam family "Bacterial small subunit ribosomal RNA", at positions 524 to 776 of the family's 1533-position model. The record is from RNAcentral.